UAUAUACUCUAUCCGUCCGAAAAUACUUGUAAUGGAAAUGAAUAUAUCUAGAUGUAUUUUUGUUUUAGAUACAUUCAUUUUUAUCUAUUUGUAUGACAAGUAAUUCCGGACGAAGGGAGUAAAAC
Hordeum vulgare subsp. vulgare (domesticated barley) is the source of this 125-nucleotide non-coding RNA. NCBI's taxonomy places the organism in Eukaryota, Viridiplantae, Streptophyta, Magnoliopsida, Poales, Poaceae. The record is from Rfam.